UGGGGAAUAUUGCACAAUGGGCGCAAGCCUGAUGCAGCCAUGCCGCGUGUGUGAAGAAGGCCUUCGGGUUGUAAAGCACUUUCAGCGGGGAGGAAGGCGUUAAGGUUAAUAACCUUGGCGAUUGACGUUACCCGCAGAAGAAGCACCGGCUAACUCCGUGCCAGCAGCCGCGGUAAUACGGAGGGUGCAAGCGUUAAUCGGAAUUACUGGGCGUAAAGCGCACGCAGGCGGUCUGUCAAGUCGGAUGUGAAAUCCCCGGGCUCAACCUGGGAACUGCAUUCGAAACUGGCAGGCUAGAGUCUUGUAGAGGGGGGUAGAAUUACAGGUGUAGCGGUGGAAUGCGUAGAGAUCUGGAGGAAUACCGGUGGCGAAGGCGGCCCCCUGGACAAAGACUGACGCUCAGGUGCGAAAGCGUGGGGAGCAAACAGG
Molecule: ribosomal RNA, 429 nt
Filed under: Chloroflexota bacterium
Lineage: Bacteria; Bacillati; Chloroflexota
Description: Chloroflexi bacterium partial 16S ribosomal RNA
Rfam family: Bacterial small subunit ribosomal RNA
Source: RNAcentral